This is a long non-coding RNA of Lagopus muta (rock ptarmigan), 9618 nucleotides long. RefSeq lists it as uncharacterized. Lineage: Eukaryota; Metazoa; Chordata; Aves; Galliformes; Phasianidae. The transcript is spliced from 2 exons. The record is from RefSeq and is a predicted model, not a curated record.
UCAAGGUGUAUGGAACUGCUGAAUCACAGCCUGAACCUCUGAUUGAUCACCUGAGGUGAGCAGUGAGUCAGCUCUGGGAGCACAGGUGAAGGCAAUUCCACAAUUCACCUGUGCUGCUGGAAGGAGUGGAGCCUGGCUGCGCCUCUCCUAGAUCUACUGAAGAGCUGGCUACCAGUGGGAAAGGAUCUCUUCUGGAGAUCCCUCCUCUGAGUUUUGCAGUGAGCCCAGAAUAUGGAAUCAUAGAAUUACUAGAGCUGGAAAAGACCCUUAAAGGUCACCUACUUAACUUGACUGCAGUGAAGGAGUCAUCCAAUCAGCUACACUACCUGUUUAAUGAAAAUGGAGAGCUGAAACUAUCACCCAAAGGUCAGCCAGCAAGCCAAGCAAAACUGAGUAUGGAGCCCAUCUGUACCAAGAGGAAGCCUUAUAAUGAAGCUAAUAGAGCACAGCCCACUGUGAUGAUUAAUUCUAAUUUCAUGAGGCAUCGUGUUUUAUCUUCUUAGAAGUUCAUAUUUACAAUUCCAACAACAGGUAAGCAGUAUACUGUGUGAGACGUGCGUAUGGAAAAAUAGAUUGAGGCAGAUGGGCUCAUAGUAAACAUGAACUGGCAGUGUUAACAUCUCAUGUAAUGAAAAGAAUUCUUAGUAAAUUCACAAGUUGAUUUAUCUGCAAGCAACUUAAUCAAAGGCAGUACCAAAAGGCCAGAGUCAUACGAGGCUGGAUCCAAAGUCCAAACAGGUUUGUGAAUACUGCUAAUGUAAUUUGAAUGGAAUUUUAAAAAUACACAAAAUAUGAAUGCAAAAUAGCAAGAGAAGUGAAUUCAAGGAUGCCAGCCACACCACAGGUCCCUGCAACUACAGUGUGUUAGAUGAAAAUAUUCAUGGCACUCCAGGAACGUAGAGGGGAGAAAAAAUUCCCUUCCCUCCCCAUCCCCAUAUGAUGGGGUCAAACAUUUAAAUUUGAUUACAGAUAUCAGACCCAUACUCCAGGCCAGGACUACUCUCCCACUACUACAGGAAGAAUCACCUCACUUAAAAUCCCAUCUUUGGUCGAUGACAAAUUGCCUCUGCUUUGGAAGAGAAUGAAUAAAACAGGACAACAUAAAUUAUGCACCACAAGGGCAAUAAAUAAAUGAGUAACUAUUCCCUCCUGUUCCAUGCACAGGGAGGCUUACCAACGGAAGCCUUGAAGAACAGAUCAGGUAAAAAUUGGACUCAUUACAACCAACAACAAUCAAUUCUUUUCUCAGCUUCCCAAGAUUUCUGAUAUUCCAGAACCAAUAAAUCUCAAAUGCUCAUCUAUAACUUUUGCCUCUGGGUUCAAUCUUGUCAUCUAACGUAGCCUCUUUACGUAAUUGUAGAAAAGAUCAUAUGAAAUCACUGCUUUUCAUUCUCACCAUUACUAAGUUUUCAAGACUAAAUUUCAUCAUCUGAUUUUUCCAGAGUUUUGGAACUGAAUUUCUCCCUCAGACAUAUUUAUUUUGUGCUAUCUCUCUCUCCCAUGCACUCUCCAACACUCAAAGACCGUUCUUAUUUUUUCCUAGCUUCACUUGCCAAAUUUUCUUUCAAGACAUUGAGUUCAACUUAAGCAUAAUCCCCAAAAUUCUUCUCUUUCCUGGAUUUUUGAGAGACUCAGUAUUUUCUGGGUCUGACUGAUCAGUAUUACAAACCAUGUCCUGAAUGCAAAUUAUUUAUUGGCUGGUCCUAACAACUUUUUUUUAAAAGCUAUAAACCACCUGGUGUGUCUUAGAACCAUGUGAGAAGAAAACAGAUAGGGUUGUGUUAUGGCCCAGAUCCCUCUACCUCUGAUUAGCAGUCUAGUUAUGCCAGGAGUUCUCGUCAGCAUGGAGUAUGUAAAUCCACUCUAUUUUUAAGUUUCUUUUAUGAAACUUAAACCACUAUUUAUUGCUCCAAACACAUAAUCCAUCCUCUGCUACUGAGCACUAUCAUCAUUUCUUCCUAUUCAGAAGCAAACAGACCAGAUUUUUAGCAAAGUCAGUAACUUGCUCAUUUCAAUGCUGGCUCUACUAUUUCAAGUAUCUGGCAGGGAAGUGACUAAAAUUGAAGUGACAGAAAAAAUAUUACAGGAAAAGAAACAAUUUAUUCCAACAAAGUCAUUUUUAAAAAAUAAACAACAAGAGUUAAAAUGUUACAAUGAACAUUUUUUCAUACUUAGUAAAUAAAAAAAAAAAAAAAUAUUCCUUCUGUAAAUCAGGUGAAACUCCAAAGCGUUUUCAAGUUUAAAGACAAAAGAGAAAGUUAACCUUACGGGGAAGACAAGCAGUUAUUUGGCUUCAAUAAUGCAUUUGAUUUCUUACACCCUGCAGUACAUCUGCCUGGAGUCAGUGUUAAGCUGCUGAUACAAAGCGAGUUUCCUUAAACAAAUGUAUUAAAAAAGUAUAAUCCAGGGGAACAGAGUUAAAAAUAAUCUUUAUAUGUAUAAAAUAAUUUUUACAUGCACCAGUCAAAGAUUCUUUACUAUUAACUUAUUAUAUACUACUAACUUCUUUCAAAGCUAUACCACACUGAAUUCAUAAUAUUCAAGGAUGAAAGUCCUAACAUCUAACUUCUCCAGCACAGCCAAUAAAGGCUCUGAGGAUUCAGCCAUUAGCAGUGAUACAUAGAGGAUUCUUCCUGUGCUCCCCAUCUGUAUGGGAACUGCUGAGUCACGGCCUGAACCUCUGAUUGAUCACCUGAGGUGAGCCAUGAGUCAGCCAGAGGAGCACAGGUGAAGGCAAUUCACCUGUGCUGCUGGAAGGGGUGGAGCCAGGUUCCACCCCUCCUGGACCUAUUUAAGAGCUGGCUACCAGAGGGGAAGGAUCUCUUCUGGAGAUCCUCCUCUUUGAUAUCUUCUAGUGAGCUCAACCCAAGGGUAAGCUCUUCUACUUAUUCUCUUUUGUGAUCCUGUUUGCUUUGCCAUACUCUUUUGAUUAUAUUGCAAUUAUAACAUCUUGGUUAUACACCAUCGAAUAAGAUUUACUUUACUUGCAUUCAUUUUUCUAUUAUCAGGUAUCACUUCGCCACUUUGACUUCGGUCUUGGUUUAUACCCUGUUAUAAAGUCACUUUAUGAUAUCAAAACUUUGACACAUACCGGUUUCAGCCUACAGGACUGAUAGAGAAUGGUAUAUAAUUAAUGGAUUUCAUUAGAUACAAUUAAUGGACUUCUUUCACAAACAUAUCUAAAGGCUGAUCUAAUAACUGUGUUAUUGAACAACAUCCCACAUACAAAAACACUUUCAAUCUAUUAGUCUGUGAAGAGGCAGGUCACCCUACAUGUACUAAACCAACAGGACAUCGAACUGUUUUCCUAAGCUCUCCCUCCACUCCCUUCUCAAGAGGCACUGGCUCAGAUAUUUGACUCAUUUUUCCCUUUUAUUUCAAAAACAAAUGGCUCUCGCUGACAUCACAAUAUUCCCAUAAGGCAGAGUUGGGAGUGCCCCCAUCACUGUACUUCUCAUUAUACAAAGUGCUAUAAUGAAAUUUCUAUCAUACACUUGCAUGUGUGAUGCAGAUCUGGGGAAAUUUGGGGAAAACAUGGGAAGCGCUGGAUUUCUCUUAGCUGCCUGCAAACCUGAAAAGCUUAUGCUGCGCUUCAGUUCCCCAGAGUUCCACUUCUUUUCAGCCAUGUGAAUUGCCAUCUGUGCUUCCCAGACUGGCAAGUUAAAAAUCUGCUGUCAUUUGUAUCACCAAUGAGCAAAUUAAAGGCAGAGAUUUCCCUCUUUAAUAAAAUAAGAAUGAUAAAUGGCAAUCUAAAUAUUGAUUCCAAAGUGAGAAGCAGGAGCACCGUUAGUUGAAGAAUCACAGGAAGAUGGCAAUCGGUAGACUACCUUCAGGUUUUCUUAUUCUCUCUAAACCAAUGACAAAUUUAAGGAGAGUAAAAUAAGCUGGAAUGUAAAUAAAAAUACAACUCAGCUGAUGACAUGUUUAGAGGGAUGCUUCACGAACCUAGAAGAUACGUUUGGUUUGCAAAGUACAGAUGCAAAUGGCAAAGCAGGAAAUUUUGUCAUAAAUAUCAAAGGAUUACACGCUCAUUUUGAGAUCGAGAAUAACAGAAGCCAAAUACCCUAAAAGUAUCCACAUAACACUAACAUGAAUAUUGUACAGUGAGAGAAAGAAAAGAAAAAUUACCAAACAAGAAGAUUAAAAUGGAUGAGGGAGAGAGGUUGUUUGGUUUUGAUUCUUUGGCUUUUCUUUUUGACAGCCAGCAGAAUCUUUCAAAGCACCAGAUUUAGCGUUAAUGACUCAUAGAAUAAGGUUUUCAGAAGCAGAUCAUGGACAUAAGUGAGCACUAACCCUCUUAGUAACUGGGUUGACUGUCGGUUUUGUUGAAGCUUUGAACCUGAAAGUUUGCAUCAAUAUACCGGUGCCUGAAACUUUGCUACACUGAAAUGCAAAUCAUCAUAUAAGAACAAGCCCUGAAAUGUUUUUGGGAAGGGUCAACUUCACUCUCCCAAAUGCCCCUUGGGAACAGUGUCAGGGUUAUCGCACAGUCAGGAAAACUUCCAAAUGAUGCUGUGUGUGCAGCUACCUGCUUUGAAAGCUGGGAGAUUAACCAAAUGCACAGAUCUCAUUCCAUGUCAGCUGUCCUCAAGGCCAGACUAUGGUUCUAUUUAUUUGUGCUGAUAAGGCCAAAAAGGAUUUGAAAUCAAACCAACUUAAGAAAACAGAAAUUAAGUGCAGAUAAAAGUGGAGGAGUACACAUACAUGCAUACACACACACACACACACACACACAAAGCCCAAUAAAACAGAAAAUGUGCUAAAGGGAAAAAUAGUAACCAUCUUUGGAGAUCUAAGAAAACAACAAAACUGAAGAAAAAAAAGAAAAAGCAAAUUUAGAAACAAAAUUACAGAGAACUCUUCCUAGACAGAGGCUACUGAAGGAAAAGACUGCAAAAAAUCAUCAACAGAGAGAAAUGAAAUUCUUAAAGGAGAAUACAGACAACAUGAAGAAGAAACAAAGGCUUGAAACGCUGGCAAAAUCCAUUCUCUUCAAAUAAGGUCAAGAAAUUGAGGAAGAAACAAAACUGUGUUUAAAAUCAUGAAAGAAAAUUAUUUGUGCAGUACAGUUUUACAAGGAAUUCUUGCAGGAAUUAGAUCAAAAUAGAAGGCCUAUCCUAUAAAAGCAAAUGGUUGGAAGAUAAAGUUUGUCAGUCUCAGCAAGGAAAAAAAUCUGAGAUGAAAAUCUGCAAGCUUCAGAGGAAGAAAGACGGCAUCGUUGAUAUCACUGAAAACCAACAGUGAUAUUGAAAAUGCAACAAAGAGAAAAAUGGCUGUAAGCCAAAAGAAGCUUUUUUUCCAAAUUUUGUAUUUACAUAAUAAAGACGGGGGUCUUUACUAUUAACUAUGAGGGACUACUUAAAACCCCAGGAUUUAUCUCAGCCUACCAAAUUGUAGAUUUGUGCUUGUUUUCUUUUAAGAUUAAUAAACACACACACCAUACUUUUCACCACAAAUACUGGUUAUUCCUACAAAUACCAAAGCACACUUCCCCCAGGAAAGUCAACAUACAAGACCAGUACCAACAGAACUAAGAAUCCUUUAUGUAAUAAAACAAAUCGUAUAGUAGUAGAAUAAAAGAAAAACAGCAUUAUACUUAGUGCCUUAGAUUGUUUUGCUGUUCCUUCCUGUCUUCUUCCUUUUUCUUCCUCCUUAAAAAGGUCAGCAAUUCAAACCUGCUCACAGUGAGAUCAUGGUCUGAUAAUGCUAUGAGAAUUAUACUAGAACUCAUACAUAAUAUCUUUUACUCCAAGUUUUACCAACAAUAACCAAAUAAAAAUAUAGCACUUUGUUCCAAAAUACAUCAAACGGCUUCAGUGACUCCGCUUUCAUUACGCGAUUAGCCAAAUAGCAGUAAGAUGACACUAACAAGACUGUGGUCACCUUCACUGCUGUGAUUCAGAACCAUCCCAGCAGCUGUGCAGAUUUCAAAGAUGGUAGCAAUUUCAUAUCCCUGCCACUGCCAAUCCAUGGGAAGGCUCUGAGUAGCUGCCAACAGAAUUCAGCAUCCAGAAACCUGAGAGAAAAGGAAGAGGCACCAUUUCUUCCCUCAGGGCCAGAGAGUUGUGGCUUCACAUUUAUCAGACACGUGCUGAUCAAAGGUAGAGCAAAAAAAAAAAAGUCAAGAUGCCCAUGAGAGCUGAGACACCAGCAAUUAAGAUCAAGGAAGUGGUCAGAGGUUUUCAGUGAGAUACUGAUUUCACCAAAACCUGAACAAUGCUGUCAAAAAUGGUCUGCUACGUGGCUGAUGUUACCUGAUCGUGAAGGACACUGAAGAUUUGUUUUUAACACAUUUCUAUCAGCACAAAUAUUACACACAGAGAAGUAUGCUAUUUGUAUGUUUCAGUACACCAGAAGAUACCUUUGAGACUGUUCUUCAAUGCUAUUUGCCAAGUUUUAUAGUGCCCAAAUGUUAGAGAAAAAACAUCUACUAAAAAUAAGGCAUGUUGCAUUUCAGAGAGGUUUCGGGUCUUUCAAGUUGCUCAGUUCUGCAUAGUCAUUUUGUGACCCAUCUUUUCCAUACCUGUACAUGCCCAUACACAGACUAAAACAGUGUGAUAUUAAGAAGAAACUAUUACUAAGUGUUUGCAUGAAGAUUCCUUCUGAAGUGGUUCUGCUGCUUUCUUAUCCUCCUCUAACUACACAUUAGGCAAUCUUGCACUUCUCCCUUAUUCUUUUGAUGCUUCAAUUGUGAAGGAAAUUUCUAGAAAAUUAUACAUGUCUUUCCUACUCAGUAAUAAAAAGAAAAUAUCACUUUCAAAGCUACAUAUUUAGAAUCAUAGAAUUACCAAGAUUGGAAAACACCUCCAAGAUCAUCCAGUCCAACCAUGAUCCACCUACCACCAGUAUCUCCUGACAAACCCCUGUCCCUUAGUACCACACCUACACUUUCCUUGAACACCUUCAGGGUUGGUGACUCCACCACCUCCCUGGGCAGCCCAUUCCACUGCCUGACCACUCUUCCAGAAAAGAAAUCUUUCCUAAUAUGCAACCUGAACCUGCCCUGGUGCAACCCGAGGCCAUUCCGUCUAGCCCUAUUGCUAUUUAGUUUAAUCCAGUUCAGUUUCAUCUUCUUCUCUCUUUCGGUGUGCAAUAUAUGAAAGAAAACAGACUCCCUGCAAUGCAUUUACUAUGGGUUAAAGGCUGCACAACUGAGUCCUUUAUUUAUUUCCAAAGCAAGUAUAUAUGUAUGUAGUAACUCAGGUUCCUCUAUACUAUCCAAUGACUGCAGUACCAGCUACUCUGAGUGACCAGUAUAAGACCAAAGGACAACCCUGUUUUCAUACAGAAAACAACUUCCUAGGUUACAUCAGUUACCUGUGUUUUCUUUCAUAACGACAUGACGUAGGUCAUCCUUUCCCACAGCAGUGAGGAGGGGCAGACCAACAUAUAAGGAAGUCAAGGGCUUGGAAUUAUGAAAUUGGACUUUCCACUAAAUCUUGAUACCAAUAUAACAGAAAGGGUAAGGCAGUAUAUGCAAAGAAAACAGAGAAGAACGAGGGAAAAACAAACAAAUAAACAAAAAACUUUGAGACAUCAGUAAAAAAUAAACACUGAGACACAAACACAGAUCUGAUGUAAAAGCUCAUUUUGGGGUAGCUUUCGCUGUAUGUGAUUUUACAGAGGUACAACUUGACACCAGGGCUGCCCGUGCCUGAACUCAUUAAACAAAGUAAAGAAGGACAAACCUGUCACUAAGCUUCAAAAGCCUCCAUCAGAACACGGGAAGUUAAGCUGAAAAAGGGCUAGGCAAAAGAUGGCAGAGAAAAUGUUUUGUUGAGGCUCAGAUUGCAUCUUCAAGAACUGAUGACCUCUCCUUCAAAACUUCUCCACACAAGACUUCUCCACACUCACCAAGGAACUGUGGGCAAUGACACAUGCAGUGCGGGCAGCUUAGUGAAUGCACGAGUGCCACAAAAAAAGCACAGUUAGAAAAGGAAUAUCGCACUUUGAUUUAGACAUUCCAUCAGAAACCUUUCACACUGAUGUGUACUACUUCAUACAUCACAAAAAGUGAUUUUUUCUUUUAAACACUGCUUUUCCUCAGUUACUGUCACAUCAAUUUUUGUGUUUUCUUUUAUUGGUUUUGUUUUGUUUACUCAUACUAACUGGGUGCAUCUGGGAGUGUGUUCACCUUCAUAAUACAGUAAAGUCUUCAUGCAAGCAUGUCUAAACACAGCUGAAAAAUUCUCAGAUGAGAAUUCACAGCUCGCAAUACAUUUGUCUCUGGAAUUACAUUUAAUCUGGUAUAUAAGUAAAAAAAAAGUCAUAUUCUAAAGGGACCACUGAGCUCUGGAUACACUUCAACACCAAAUGAUGGCAGCUAAUGAAUAUCAAAUUAGUACAGUAUUCUUGAGCAACAUCCAAGAAAAGAGAUGUUCAAAUGUCCAUUCCAUACACUUUCAUUUCAAAGCACUUACUAUCUUGAAAAGCACAGUUAAAGCUAUCAUCUUUUUUGAUAAGAAAUGUCUUAGUCGGAUAAAGAAAUAAUCAAUCUCUUAGGGUUGCUUCUGCCAGGAAGUUAAAAUGUUUAAACAACAAUAUUUCACUUUUGUAAGAGACUUCAGGAGAAAAGCUACUAACAGAGGUUAUCAAUCUAAUGACACUCUGUUUAUAGCUUUGAGACCUACUUGAAUGAGGGAAUUGCCACACGGUGACAUUAAGCAAGCAAGCAGUUACUUACUGCCUAAGGAGUCCGAUCACUGGAAUACCCCUUGUAUGCCAAAAGCUGCACUGGUUGUGUUUGACUUGCAGGUAUCCCUGAAUUUCUCUCUCAAACUACUACUCUCAGCAGGAAACAAUAACCUUCACGAACUCCCAGGACACACCCUUGCUAUCUAAAGCAGUGUGAACAUAUUGUAACAUUUCACAUCAGUGUCAUGAGAAAAUAUAUUUAAGCUGUGAAGAAGCGUUUCCAUAUUUACACUGACUAUAUAAACAUCAAGGAAGUCAGAGAUGCUCAGAAAAAUCUGCACGCACUCUCGAAACAGCACUCUGAGAGGAGGGGGGUACAAUUCUGCUUCCUCUCUUUCACAUUUGUUUUCAGCAAUAACGAGGCAGCUGAUGGCUUGGCUGACUCUUCUGAUGGGACACCAAAUGACAUCUCCAAACACUAGCUGAGCUUGUCUAGGAACAAAAAAGUAGGCAUAGAACUAUACAAAAUAAUAGUAACAAUAAUAAUAAUAAUAAUAAUAAUAAUAAUAAUAAUAAUAAUAAUAAUAAUAAUAAUAAUUCAAGAGCAAUCAUUCCUUUUCCUAAAUAAUUUGUAGGAAAAAAAAAAACAAACAAAUUUGAAGUUCUGCCUGGACGUGUUCACCAACACAGUACGACGUGGCACACAGGACGAGCUUAAACCUCUACUACACUGGAUUGUAUCAUCGCUCAGCUCAUCUUCCUACAUAGCUGACUCUUCCACAGACUUUCUCUCAGAAGGGAACUCUGCCUGAGAGCACUGGAUAUUAUUUAACCAAGCCUGCCAGGUCAAAGUACUACAGCAGGGAUCCACAAAACUAACAAAACAGUAGGGUCUGUGUUAUAUGAAAGGACUAACCAAAGAUUAGUCUGGGAAAAAAAAGAAAAAAGAAAAACCACAUACCACAUUAACAACAAUUGGAAAAA